GGCUGUUCUCCCACAGAGCUCUCAUUGAUUUGAGAUAAAUAAAAUAAAGCUCUCAUUGAUUUGAAUUUGAAUUUCUGAAGCGGCUCCCCGUAACAGUAGGAGAUACAUAUUAGGGUAAGUAAUGAUGAGCUUAAAGCUUCGACUUCUCCUGUAGUCUUUGGUGGGCUUUCCAUGGCUCACAUGUAAUGUCAAUGCUGAUAUUCUAAAUGAGGUUUUUUAUUUUUAGUGUCUUGGUUCUCUCAUCUACAAGUACUUAACUUAUCUGACCAUGACCAGGGCAGGAAUGGUGCCUAACUCCUUUGCCUAGUGGGAAGACUAGAAAGGCAGUUCCUAGGAAAUUAAUUUUUAUGAUAAAGAUGAGAUUUUACCUGUAGAAAUUUGUGCUCACCCUUGGAGCUGGGCAUGGAUUAAGAAAAAGCUUGUUUUCUGCCAAAAUGUAGGGCUGGCUCUGGUAGACCACUUGGCUUUCUUUUGAGGGGAUGGGACUUGAGAAGGGGGCCAUUGCUUGAAGUGUCUCUGGAGUCAUUAUUGCUGACCUGGCCUGUAUCUGUGAAGGGACUCACCCAUGCUCCUCAGCUAGGAACUGCUCCUUGUACUGUGGGACAUUUGGGAGCCAUUAGGCCUUGGCUGAGGCUUUAUAAUCUUUAUUAUAAUCUAUCAUGGGGCCCAUAAAUAUUUAGCCAGAGAGACUGCCCCUGAGCACCAGUGACGGAGCAGGUCAAUAGCAGGUCAACCGUUUUAUAAAGCCACAAGGGGCUGCUUAACACGGUAGUACUUGACAAGGCAUCACUUCCAGGCAGAUCUCAAAUGAACACUGUGAUUCUCUGUGCACAGAGCUCAGUGCCAGGAGUCAAUUAGGAUCUGGGGUACUAUCCUUGUCUUUCCUCUACCUACAACCCCUUGAAAGAGACACAAUUUUGUCAUUGAGAGAACAAAAAGACUAUUUAUGCAGAGUCCAAGAGAUUGCACUUAUAUUUCAUAUUCCUUUGAUAGACUGGCUUCUAGGAACAAUGCCUUCUCAUUAUUAAUAAUUUCCUGGACAUUAUUCCAAAAUGAUCUGUCCUGAGACCAGGCUGAUAGGAAAAAUUAGGAUGCUACAUCUCGAGUUUUCACCAGAUGAUUUAGAAUUGAAGGUCUCAGUCAAACAUUUUUACCAACCUUCAUCUCAGACAUUGAAUGACUGAAAAUCUGAUAAAGGAGGGAGCCUCAUUUUCUGGUCAGUGACUUUGACUUCAAAUUUUGAAUUACAUAGACAGACAUUGUGUACUCAGGAGGAUCAGGAAAGGAACAAAAAUUGGAAAUCUUCCUAGGAAGUCUCUAGAAUCAUGGAAUUCUAUCCAGCCAGAUUGUGUCACCUUCUUAAACUUGAACUAGUGAGAGUUGGGGUAUCCUUCCUUUGGGGACAGUGUUUUGAGCAAUUCUAUAGACACCCUUAUCCUCAAUCCCCUUUCCAAGAAACUUUCAUUUCUUGUAUUAUUUUAGAUGAUUUCUCUUAGUCAGCAAUCUUAGGAAACUAGAUGCCACCCCCACUUCCCUCAAAAUAGGAGGGAGAAUCUUAUUUGGAGACUGAGGACAUACUUACAUUAGUCACCUCCCAGUAAGGAGAGGGCAGAAGAGCCAGAGAUGUAAGUAAUUGCAACCCUGUCCCUCCAAGACAAUGACACUAUUGUCCACAAUCUCUAGGGCCUUCAGAACCAUCCUAACUAGACUCUCAACAUUCUUUGUUCCCUUUCAGGAAACUAGAUGCCAUAAACUUAGUGUGCCCUGCAAUUCUAUUCAACACUUCAACACCUUCCUUUCCUUCAGAACGCCCCUCUGUGACAGCCACCAGAAGCCUCCCCAAGAAAAGCAGAUGCUGAGCAAGUGAGAAAGGGAAGGAGGGGAUGAGAACUCCUGAUCUAAGGGGGAUGGAAACCAAAGGGGAAGCAGAAAUAACCACCACGAAAACAAACAACAAAAAGCAGCAAAUGUCUAGGGACUAGAUUAAAAUUCUAUUGUAAUUGACCAUGUGAGCCUAGAGUUUUAAAGUUGGGCUUCAAUCAUGUUUGACUGUGACCCAUAGUAAAAAAUAAGUUUUGUGUUACCAGUGGGUACACACACACAGUUUUACAAACAACAUUCACCCUUAACUGCAAAGGAUGUAUACUGACUUUUUUCCCUCUAUUUUAUUUUACACCAUUUUAUCUCACCUUAUCUUACCUUUAUCAAUUCAAGCCUUUUCUGUUCUAUUUCAUUAAAAAGGGGGAAUGGCGGCUACCUAUUAAUUAAUUCCAUGAUUCACUAAUAGAACAUAACUGGCAGUUUAAAAAUAGUAGUUUGUUAAAAUUCAUGGAUAAGACUUCUGGAUUCAUAGACAUUCAGAACUGUGGAUCAUCCAUUUCUAAUGUAACCUCAUUUUACAAGUGAAGACACUGAGACUUUUUAGAGAGGAUGUAAUUCAUCCUGGAUCAUACAGUUGGUUGAUGGCAAGACCCAUGUUCUUUCCUGAAUUCACAUGGUGAUGCCAGAGGAGGUGUGGUGUGGGGCAUAGAGUCUGGGUAGUUUGAGGAUGUGGUCUGUUUAGAGUUCUGUAACCUUAUGCACAUCACUAAAACCAUUUGGCCUCAGUUUCCUAUAAAGUGGACUGUUGUGAGGAUUGAUUAGGUUAAGAUACAAGAGAGCUGGAGGUGAAGUUCACAGGCAAAGAAUACCUGUUUCUUUUCCUUAUCUCUCUGAUAGCCUGUCAUGCAUGUGCUAUCUGUAUUUCUCCUCAUUAGUGCUACAAUAGAGACCCCUGUCUAUUCUGGAGCCUCCCACAGGCAGAACAGGAAGGGAAAAAGUUAAUGUGGUAUUUGGCCUCUUCUCUUCACCAUCCAGAGACCCCUGUCCUGCAAUUCCCCUACUCAACCCUCUCCUUUUUUCCGAUUUGCUUUUUCUUCUUGGUUUAUCUUGCCAUUUUUUAAAAAGAUAUUUUUUAUCAAUAUGUCUUGAAUUUGGGGACCUCUUAAAUUAUCCAAGGCCAAUAUAUGGAUAGAAAUAAGCAGUCUACAUAGAGAUGAUAAACAUACUCAAAAAUACCUGUAUGGAUCUAUAACAACCUGUAGAUCCCAGAGUGGGGUCUGGAUGUGGGAAAUGGGAAGGGAGCACAUUAAAUAUCUGGAAAUUCAUCAAAGAUGUUCCACUUGGGUCUUAAGAGGAUGACAUUCCACAAAGUCAGACAUGUGGAUUUUGUCCUCAGUUGGUGGCAGGGAAGCACCAUGUUAUCCCUUGGGGCAACUAGAUGCAUGAGAUUUUCUGUGGUCUAAACGUAAGCAAAAAUGAAUAGUCACAUGCCAGGAGAACCCAUUCUUUCGUGGGAGGGCUUCAGAUGGCAUAUGAAGGACAGUCUCAUACAUAGGUGGUUUUGUCAAGAGGGAGGUUCAGUUGGCAUCAACCACAUGCAAUGCUUUCAGAAAGAUAAUUGAACUUAAUGUUAUUUUUUUAAGUCACCCUGGGAUUAUUUCUUUCUCUGUAUUGGAAGGGGUUCAAAGAACUGGAGUUCAUUUCUCCAAAGACCUUCACAUGUUUUAGAACCACAGGAAAAAUUUGCGUGAAAAACAUUUAAAUAACUCCAUCUGCUUUUUCCUCCUGUUUCUUAUUUGAAAGAUAAGGCAAGGGUAAGGCUCAUUUUGUUUUUUCUCUUAUCAACAUAAAUUCUGCUCAAAUAUCUGGUUCAGUUUCCUUAGUAAUUUAUGCAUUCUCAGCUCAGUGAUUUUCUGCAGAACCAGUCUUUUAUGAGAAACUAGAAUUUUCCCGGGGAGAAAAUUGCCUUCUCUGUCACUGUACUCUAUAUUUAGUGCAUAACCACCUGUGUGACAUGACCUGAGUUUCCACAUCUAAAAUGAAGAAGCUGCACCUAGAGAGGACAUCUUUUGUGAUGGUUAAGAGCAUAGAUUUGGGAGCCAGGCUGCCUGGCUUGAUCUCGACUUUUCUACUUAUUGGUGAUGUGACCUUGAGGAAAAUUACUUAACCCAUCUGUGUUUCAGUUUUUUCACCUUUAGAUUGAUGGUGAUAAUAAUAGUAUCUGUAUCAUAAAAAUUAUAUGAAUUAAUGCAGUGCCUAGUUUUAGUAAUUGCUAUAUGAGAUUUAGUGUUUUUCUCACUGAAAUGAACCGUAAGGUCUCCUAUGGUUUUAAAAGUGGAUGAUGAGAUUACAAUAAUACUAUUUUACAUUAGAAUAGCUAUUUGUUGUUUAUAAGACUUAGCUCCAUAUAUUAUCCUCCAGAUGAGGAAAUUGAGGGAAAGGUUAAAUGAGUUGAAUAAAGACACUAUUCUGACACUUGCCUCACCGGAUGAUGCUGCUCAGCUAACUUUUCCCUCUUAGAUGGUCCUCCUCUGGAAACUUUUCAUUAUAUUUAAGUAGUGCUGUUUUCCUUCAAAGUGUUGGAUGCUACCAUAAAGCCUCUGUGACUUUUCCUGUCCCUUUCUGCUUUAACUGAGAAAUUCUAUUUGUUCUGAUGGGCAAACACAGAAUCUUAGUGGGACGGUCACAAUACCAAUUCAUGUCUUACGUAAAGGAGAGUAUCAGUGUUCUCAGUUGGUAGGGGACCAUUCAAGGACCCAGGCUCUUUUCUCUUUCAGGGCUCUAGAGUUCUUUCCUUCUAGGUGGUGGACGGAACAAAAGACCAUGAAGAUUUUCACCUAAAUUUUAACCACAUUGAUUCAGAAGCAACACACAUCACUUCCUUUCACUUUUCUUUUAUUAUUUUUUAUUUUUUAUUUUUUAGUUUUCGGUGGACACAACAUCUUUUUAUUUCAUUUUUAUGUGGUGCUGAGGAUUGAACCCAGUGCCCCACGCAUGCCAGGAGAGCGCGCUACUGCUUGAGCCACAUCCCCAGUCCUUCCUUUCACUUUUCAAUAGCAAAAGUAUACUAUGUGGCUCCAUGUAGGGCCAGGUGGGGCUGGGAAAUGUGACCUCCAUGGGGCAGUCAUGUCUUGAUAAUUUAGAGGAGCAUGAACUUUUGAUCAUCAGUUGCCAUUUCUGCCACACUAAUUCACCCCCACAGCAAUCACGUAUUAUAUCUCUCUACAUUUUCUCUUCCAUGGCCCUCUACUUCCAUUCCCAUAGCUACCACCCUGGUUUCAUCCCUCCUAAUCUCAUACUAGCAUAUCAUAGCUACUUCCUGCUUCUAUUCUCUGUAUUUUUCCAUCUCUCCCUCAUGCCACAGCCAGAUUAAUCAUCCUGAAUAACUCUUUCAAAAUUUCAUUUUUCUAUGUUUCCAUUUAGCAGCAGCUCAACAAUGUUUGUGUUUCUGUGUCAGUCACAGUGCUAGGCACUGAAGGAGUUCAUAAAGAAAUAAUGCUUGGUUCCUGCAUUUCAGCUGCUUUUAAGCAGGGAAAACUAACAUGCAUACAUUAAGCUGUGAACCAGGAUAGGGAGUAAGCCCUAGGAUUGAAGUACCAGUACCUUCCUAUUUGCAUAUAGAGGAGGGGAAUAUUAAUUACUCAGAAAUGGUGAACAAUCCUGGGUUAUCACAAGACUUGGGAGGAGGUAAUGAGUAUGUACUAAGUGUCUGAAACUGAGCUCAAAUUUCUGGGCUUGGUUGAAUUUCAUUUCAGGGAAUUAAGAGAGAACAGUUGAAAUUGCUAGGGAGGCUGGGUUACACAUAUAUAUAAAUAUACAUACAAACACAUACACACACACAUAUAUAGAAUACCAUUAUAUAUAUAUGACAAUUAUAUAUAUAAUUAUUAUAUAUUUUUAGAAAAUAAAGGAGAUAGGAGAUUCUAUAUUCCAUAGUCUAAUGAACUUGGUAUCUCUAACUAGAAAAAUUAUAAAAUUUAUUAAUAAUAAACGGGGCUGUCUUGGGCUUACUAUGAACAAAUCAUUUCACUUUGGUCUUGUUUUCUCUCUUUUAAGGUUAAUUUGAUUUAAGAUCAAUAUAAGAUAGAGAUUGGGUUUUUCUGAAUUCCAGCUAGGAUUUUGAUCAGUUUGAAUACAAUUCUUAAAAAAGAAAUUAGAACAGUAUGGAUGAUUGUGUGGUUUGGUGGAUUAAUAGAAAAAUCAAUACGAACGUGGAGGAAGGUAUGGAGAGAUUUGUUUCAGGAACCUAUCCCCUGCCUCCUGUCCUUUAAAAAAUAUUAAUUUUUUUUGUGAAAGACUUGAUUCUCAGGUUUAUGGUUACUGUGAGCAAGGAUAGUAUCUUUGAGAUAGAGUGAUUUCUGCUUAGAGUUCUCUGGAUGACUUUCUAAACUUGAGGUUAGAAUUAAAAAGAUAAAUGAGGUAUUGAACUAUGUAUGGUCAUUUACCUCUGCAUAUGUUUAUCCCCUUUUGAAAAAAUUGAAGCCAAAGAAUUUCUAAUUAUAGUUUGGCUAAACAGUGAUUAUGCAUUAAACAUUAACUUUGUACCACUCAGAAUGACUAUGCCAGAAGGGUUUUCUUGCUUAUUAGUUAAAAAAAUGGUAAAAUAGAAAUUAAACCCUGAAUCCUUCCCUGGAAUUUUCAGGGGGAAAUAAGUCAAUGAAUUGUACCUUCCUCCUUACCCCUAUGUCCUGUACCCUACACCCUGCUUCUGAAAUAACAGCCUUAGAGAACAGAAUCAAUUGGAAGUAGACUGUGCCAUAAUGAGCAGAAGUUUGGAAAUUCAACAUAAAUAUUGGAACCCUGGGUGAUAGCUGGAAGUGCUAUGGUUGGAAAUAUUAGGAGAUGCCUGAAGGCCUAUCUCUACUCCCCUGGAUACCACAAAAUAAAAAGCAUGAACGUAUGGUAAGUCGUGCUGUGGUUUAGAUGGAAUGAUUAAAAUCAUGUGACUAUAAUCCAAUUCCAUUCCAAGAGGAAGAACCCUAAAUUAUGAACAUCUUCUAUUCUUGGGCCAGGGAUGGGGGUGGUUGCAUGCACCUAAUAAGUGGGAUUCUCUUCAUUUAUAAGUGUUCAGUGCUAAAGAAUGCUUAUUUCAGUUGAGUCAUACAGUGUGCUUAGUCAGCAAAGGGCCAAUUUUGGAAGUUACAUGGCCUCAUGUCAGUGAUGUUAUAGAAGGAGUUCUUAAGCUGAACAGAGGACAAGAAGGCUUUAGGAGAAAGGGCCUUUGAAUAUCCCUUUGGGUACCCAAAAGAUCCAAAUUUUUGACUUAUCAUGUAUGUCCUCUGCUUAAGAACUUGAACUUUCAUGUCUGAAAUAUCUGUUUUAAUGCCAACUCUGCCAUUUCAUUUGGACACAUUGAACAAGUUACUUUACCUUUCUAUGCCUUGGUUGCUUGACUGUAAAGUGGGGAUAUAAUAUUAAUAUGUCAACUGUUGACCUCUCAAAAGAUUCAGCUAAAAGCUCUGUUGAUCAAACAUGGCUAAGAGACUUGCUGUUAUAAAGGAUGGAUCACCACUUACCAAAGUCUUUAGAGUGACUCAAAGGAGGGAAGUCACGAGAAGGUAUUUAUACAAUUGUUCUUAAACUCUUCCAAAAAUAGAACAGUGUAUACUUCCAAACUCUUUUUUUUUUUUAAUGAGGCCAGCAUCUCUCUGAAACCCAAGCCAGAAAAACACCACAAGAAAAGAAAACUCUAGGCCUGAUUCCCUGAUGAACAUGUAUGCAAAAAUCCUUAGCAAAAUAUUAGCAAACCAAAUUCAAUGGCACAUUAAUAGGAUAAUAUACCAUGACCGAGUGUGAUUUAUCCCCUGGGAUAUAAAGUUGAUUCAACAUAUAAAAAUCAGUUGAUUUAAUAUACAACACUGACAAAAUAAAAGAUAAAAUCACAUAAUUAUUUCAAUAGAUGCAGAAAAAAGCAUUUGACAAAAGUCCGAUACCCUGACAUAAUAAUUCAAGUACAGAAGGACCUUGCCUUAACACAAUAAAAGCCAUAUAUGAAAAAUCCAGACCUAACCUCAUAUCCAGUGGAGAAAACGUAGAGUCUUUUCUCUAAGAUCUGGAGCAAGAUAAGGCAAGGAUGCCCAGCCUCACCUCUUGGGUUCAUCACAGUACCAGAAGAAUUAGCCAGAGUGAUGAGGCAAGAAAAAUAAAUAAAAGGCAUCCAAAUCAAAGAGGAAGAAGUAAAAUUAUCUGUUUCCAGAGGACAUGAUCUUAUAUGUAGGAUCUCCCUUAAACUACACAAAACUGGGCUGGGGGUGUAGCUCAGUGGUAAGGCACUUGCCUAGCACAUGUGAGGCACUGGAUUCUAUCCUCAGCACCACAUAAAAAUAAGUAAGUAAAAUAAAGCUGUUGUGUCCAUCUACAGCAAACAAUAUUUUUAAAAAACUACACAAACCUGUUAGAACUAAUAAAUAAAUUGGGCAAAGUUGCAGGAUACAAAAAUCAGUCGCAUUUCUCUGUGCUAACAAUAAAUUAUUCAAAAAGGAAACUUUAUUGUUUAAAUUUAUUAUUUUAUUAUGUAACUCUUAUUUACAAUAGCACCCCAAAGAAUAAAAUACUAAGGGAUAGCUUUAGCCAAAGAGUAAAAGACACACAUGCUGAAAACUACAAAGUACUGAUGAAAGAAAUUAAAGCAGAUACAGAUAUUCUUUGUUUAUAAGUUGGAAGAAUUAAUACAUUUAGAUUGCCUGUAUUACCCAAAGUGACUUAACAGAUUCAAUGAAACCCCUAUCAAAAUCCUAUUGGUAUUUUUUACAGAAAAAGGAAAAAGAAUCCUAAAAGCCAUAUGAAACUACAAAAGACCCCAAAUGGCCAAAGCAAUUUUGAGCAAAAGGAAUGAAGCUGGAGGCAUUUUUUACAUUUCCUGAUAUAAAAAUAGAUUACAAAAUUAUGUAAUUAAAACAAUAUGAAACAGGCAUAAAAACAAUAUAUAAACCACUGGAACAGAAUUCAGAACCCAGAAACAAACUCAUGCAUAUACUAUCAACUGACCUUCAACAAAGAUGCCAGGAAUGUACAAUGGGGAAAAGUAGAGUCUCUCCAAUAAAUGUUACUGAGAAAACUGGAUAUCCAAGUGCAAAAUAAUGAUUUUAGAUCUUUAUCUUACACUAUACAUAAAAAAUCAACUUAAAAUGAACCUAAGAACUAAAACCAUAAAACUGCUAGAAGAAAAUAGCAGGAAAAGUCUUCUUGAUUUGCCUCAGCAAUAAUUUCUUAGAUAUGACACCAAAGGAACAGGUAACAAAAGUAAAAAUAGAAAAGUGGGACUAUUUUAUGGCUAAGUAAUAUUCCAUUGUGUAUAUGUACAACAGUUUCUUUAUCCAUUCAUCUGUUGUUGGGCAUCUAGGUUGGUUCCAUUGCUUAACUACUGUGAAUUGUUUUGCUAUAAACAUUGAUGUGGCUGCAUAAAUGGAUGGACCUAGAGACUAACAUGCUAAGUGAAUUAGGCCCAUUCCUCCAAACCAAAGAUUGAAUGUUUUUGCUGCUAUGUGGAAACUAAACCACAAUAAAGGGGCAGAGAGAAAGACAACAAGUUCAAUAGAUUAGACAAAGGGGAACAAAAGGAAGUGAGGAGAGAUAGGAAUAGGAAAGACAGAAGAAUAAAUCUAACAUAAUUUUCCUAUGUACACAUACGAAAAUGCCUAAUUGAAUCCCACCAUGGGGCCCAGCCACAAGAAUUAUUCCUAAUUAGAAUAAGAUACAUUCCAUGCUUGUAUAAUUUCAUCAGAAUGGAUUCUACUUUUAUAUAUAAGAAGAACCAAUUAAAAAAAACUAAAGUGGAAUUACAUCAAAUUUAAAUCUUCUGCACAGCGAAGGAAACAACCAGCAGAGUAAAAGGCAGCCUUCAGAAUUGAAGAAAAUAUUUAUAAACCAUGUAUCUAAUAAGGGGUUAAUAUCUAAACUAUAGAAAGAAUUCAUACAACUCAAUGGCAAAAAAGCAAAUAAUUGGAUUAAAAAAGGAUAAAGGAUGUAAACAGACAUUUCUCCAAAGAAGACAUAUACAUGUCCAAUAGGUAUAUAAAAAAGGUGCUGAACAUCACCAAUCACUGGGGGAAUGCAAAUCAUACGAUGGCCAUUAUGUAAAAAAACAGCAAUUAAAAAGUGUUAGUGAGGAUGUGGAAAAAAUUGAAAUCCUCUUACACUUUUGAUAAGGAAUAUAGAAUAGUAGAGCUGCUAUGGCAAGCCAUAUGGAAGUGACUAAAAAAAAAAUAAAAAUAGAACUAACAGUAUGAUCCAGCAUGUGAUCCAUAGUUAUGUGCAUUGGAUGUUAGUUCUCCUCUUAAACUCUUAAGAUAAUGCUUUUCUACUCUUGCAGCCCCCACCCCUGCCUGUGAAUGUUCAGCCCAAGUCUUGUACCUGGAGUACAGAAAUCAUUGUUUCUCUUCAGUAAUGGUCAUUGCUUGUUAGUUUACAACACUUAACAUUUCCCCUCCUGGGAUCUGACAGGUUCCAUAUUAUUUUUGAACUUAACCUUGGAAAUGGAAACCUAUUUUUUUAAAGUUAGAAACUUAUGGUAAUUUACUAUUUAUUAAAGCUCUCAUACAUAAGUAAUUAAACAUUUUAAUAAAAAACAUGCACAUUAUUUCAUAAUAACAGCUAUAGUUUUAUAAAUGUGGUGCUUUAUUUUGCAUAAUUAGCUCAUUAGCCCUUACAUUAACCUUAUGAGGUGAGGUGGUUUGGUUUUUUUUUUUUUUAAAUUUUUACUCUCUCUGGGAGGAAACUGAAGUUGAGGAGGAGCUGCUGGGUAAGUAACUUGCUCCACCCUUCUUAGCUGAAAGUGGUAGGGACAAAAUCUGAACUUAGGUUUGCUUUACUUCAAAGUCAUAUUUUCAACCAAAGGAGUAAUUGAAUAUAGAUAUAUUAAAUAAGAUUUUCAUCUAAAAGUAAGAUUUUUACUACAUGAAGCUGAUUGGGAAGGAUCAGGAGAGAGAUUAUGAAAGAGGUAAUAUACAAAUAUUACAUAAAAACAUACAAGAUUUUCUAAGAAACUUACAAGGUUUAAAGUACAUAUAAAUAUUAUAAAUAUAAAUAAAAUAUAUAUUUUUAUGAAAUUUUCUCAAAGAUAAUUAACUUGAACAUUUUUAUACUCUUACAUGUUAUUGUCAAAAGAUAUAUAUCUUGUAAAUAUAUAUAUAUACAUAUAUAUUUAUCUUGUAACUCUAUAUAUGACAAUAUACAUAUUUACAUUUGCAGGGGUAAUUGAAUAAUUAAGAAAUAUCUAACUCAAACUUUAUUAUUUCAUUUACUUACAUAAACUAGUUAAGUAUAAAGUUGACACAGGGAUCUCAGACAAGGCCUUCAAUGGACCUACAUUUAUGUAUUUAAAAAUUUUUUUUCCAUUUCUAUUUUUCCUACCAAGACAUCAAGCACAGUCAAUGUCAUAUAGUAACAUAUGAAAGUGGCCCAGGGUGACACAACUAACACUUGACUUUGCAUUUCAUCUUUAAACAGGAUAUAUCAUCUGUCUUUUCAGAUGACUCUCCUCUCCUCUCCCUGGAAUCAUUAAAAUAGAGGAUCCUUCCUCAUUACUGUGGUUGCACCUUCCUCACAAAUUAGCCAGAACCAUUUCCAAACAGGCAUUAUUUCUGAGUGAUGGUAUUUCUGAUGUUUCCUGAACGUUUUCUUUUCUUUCCUUUUUGUCAGAGGGGAAGGACACACCAAUUUCUGGUGGGCACUGCUGCCACCUCCCAGGAUGUGUCGCUCACAGCCCUGUCCUGCUUUCUGCUCUUCAGUUAAUCAGAUGAAUCACAUUUCUUCAGUGGAGUACAUUUCUUUCUGGCAGUGAGUUUGCACAAUCACCUCCGCACACGCACAGGCACACGAACUGUCCGCGCUACUGUGGAACAAUCAUUUGUAAUCCAUACCUACUUUCCUCACUAUGUUAAUUUCAUAGAUUUUUAGAACAGGCUAAGAGCUGAGAGACCAUCUGUUUCCCUUUUCAUUUUAUCGAGUGGGAAACUGAGGCCCAGUUAGGCCCAGUGAUUCUCAAAAUGUGGCCCUUGGGCCAGUGGCAUCAGCUUCCCUUGGGAAAUUGUUAGAAAUGCACUUUCUCAGGUCCUACUCUACACCUAGGGAAUCUGAACUGCUGGGCCAGCCCUCUAGAAAGUUCCAAGUCUUGCUAUAGUUGAGAAACGCUGGGUUGAGCCUUUGUCCAGGUCCUGUAGCUGUUGGCAAAACGAUCCCAGUUUUCUUGACACUUGUUUAGAGUCCUUUGAGCUCCAUCACUUUGUGUCUGUCCCUGCCUGAGCUUACACAUGGUAUUUUUUUUUCUUUUUGGCAUUCUUCUGGAAGCUGGUAUUUAUUCAUUUAGUUUUAAUGAGGUCCAGUCUAGCUGCCUUUUUCUUCCUCGCAGCUUGCUGAGAGAUUUAAGUUCAGGGGCUAUUACCUAAUUAUAUUAAUUUCAUGUCUGGGGAUUUUUAACAACAAUUUCCUCAAAUUGAAGUCUUAAUUUGACCACAAAUCCUUGCCCUGAGCAGCGAGGUACAGUUAGUUCUCCAUGUUCCUAGAUUUUUCUUUGCUUUUCAAGCAAAGUUCAGCAGCCAAGCAGAUGCAUUUGCUUCUACUCUUCUGGGUAGACAAGAAAGGCUCAUGUCCUUUCAUAAGCAAUUUUCUUUUUCUAGUGACAGUUUCAUCCUAUUCUGACAAAACCACACAUCAGGAUUAUCCCUUUCAACUUCAUUCUCAAAGCUCUGGCUUCAGUGCCACUUAUCAACGCCCCUUGUUGAAAGAACGUGGCCCUCAGAAACUUCUGAGGUUCUUCCUUUGCCUCAGCAGACCCCAGGCAAGACAGACAACCUUGUCUGAUCAUCCUCCACUGUUCUUCCAUUGCAGACUCCACGUGGUUGAGCUUCCAAGAGCCAUCUACCUUUUAAUCUCUCUUCUCUUGGUUUUUUCCCUUGGCUUCCAUUCUCCAGCUAGAAGCCUGUUGUGGUCACAGGUCCUGGCAGGAAGCUGUGGUUUUAAUGACUUUUUUUCUUCAAUGGAAGAAGUUUGAAUGAGGGCUGAAACUUUUGAGCUCAACUGCCCCUCUGCUUGUUGUAAGGCUCGGCCUGAGCCCAGAAAACUCCGAGGGCUUUAGGACUUGAUGUUUCUUUCCCCCCUUCAGGGGAGUUUCUGCAGGAGCUCUGAGCCAGGCCAUGCCAAUCCAGAGAACUCUCAGGAGGCCGGGGCUCUGGGGCUGAACUGGAAUGUAGUAUACUCCUGGUGGGCCCUCAACCAACACUGAAACCCAUCCUGAUGAGGCCCAGAGGAUGUAAAGUUGACUUAGCCAUCCAAGGGUCACUUGGGGUGAGGCCACUUGUGAGAACUGACCAAAACCUGGUAAACUGCAGGAAGAGAGAGGUGAAGAUUUCAGGGAAUUUCUCCUAGAUACUUUCAUUCGUGACAUCUGUCUACUUGAGGUUUGAUUUUUCAGUACUGAAAACUAUAAAUACUAAUAGUUUUUGGUGAGUCUGGGCUUGGGUUUAAGAGUCUAUCUUUGCAUGGUGAUUAUAUUUACAUAUGAAGUUGUGGCUUCUCUUGAUACAUAACAAAUAACAAAGAUAAUAAUAAUACUAAUUACUAUCAUGAAAUAUAUGCUCCAGUUUUCUCUGGUGGGCAUGUUACAGACAUUGCCACUAAUCCUUCUACCCUCUUUUCCAGGUGAGGAGACAGGCACAGAUAUUCUCAAUUACUCAAAAUAAGACACUAAGUGAGGAAAUUUAGUGUCAGUUUUCUUCUUUUGUGAGGACUUGAUAUAAGGGGUUAAACAUAUUGGCUCUGGGACUGGGGAUAUAGCUCAGUUGGAGUGCUUGCCUCGCAUGCACAAGGCUGUUUAAUUCCCAGCAACACACACAUACACACACACACACACACACAAUCACUUGUAUAUAAAUAUCACUUCACACUAUAAUAUCUAGUUAUACCCAAUUCCCCUUAUACCUCAGUUUCCCAAUUUGUAAAUUAGGCAUAAUGGCAUCUACUUUGUAAGGUUGAUAAAAAGGCUUAAGGAAUUAGUAUACAUUAAGUACUUAAUAGCUGGUGAAAAAUAAUUUGUUAUAUGAACAUUGGGCUAUUAAGAAAAUGCAAUUCUGAAAGAAAAAGGCACUGUUUCACAUUAUUUGCCAAAUAAACUAAUCCUUUACAGCAGCAUUUCCAAACGUUUAAUACUCAUUUUUGCCUCUUUUCCGGGGUUGGUUAUGAAAUAAUUCAGUAGUUGGUAAGAAAAACUAGGAAGGGAUAUGUAAUUUUUACUUAGAACAAAUAAGUCAUUCAUUACUACCCUUGCCUCCUCUCUCCCUCCUUUCAGAGUGCUCUCUGGGUCCCCUGUACCUUUGUGACUCAUGUGGCUGCAAAUCACUCAGCAGCCAGGGCUGAAUCCCAUUUGCAGUACAAAGAGCCUGGCAGGGAGGAACGGGCUUAAUUAGUCAGAGAUGUUCAAGGUAAAGCCUUUACAAAAGAGCUAACUGUGCUGUGUAAAGGGAAGAAACGCGAUGAAAGCCACCAUUACCGGAGCAGGGAUGAUGCAUAUAUUUCCUUAGCUUUUUCUUGCCACAUCAUAUCUGCUCAGAUGUCACAGCUCCAAUUUCAGGGGUAGUUCAAAGCGGAGGUUUCUGACUAGGAAACCACAGAAAUAGUCAAGAGCCUUGAAGCUGAUGCCAUCAGAUGUAUAACCACUCUGGCCAAUUAACAUGCCGGCUUGGGGAAGAUGAAGGUGAAGAAAACAAGGACUUAUCUCCCACAGCUGUAUGUGAGAAACAGACAUGGAAAUAGCUAAUCGCAAAUGCAAUGACAGAUUUCUAAACCUAAGCCUGGAAAUAAAAGCACCGUGGGACACAAUGUUACCUGAGGGAGAAAUUUGGAUGGUUAGAUAGAAACAGCUAAACAGAGGCAGGGAUGGCUCAAAAGAACAUGGACUUGGCCAGGUAGCUAGGUAAAAGGGAAAGAGGACACAAACAAAACAAUAUAAAGACUCAAUCCUAGCAUUGACAUUGACAUUUACCAGUUUUGUGAUGUUGGGUUUGUCUUUACAGCUAUGGGCUCUAGGUCUUUAAGGUCUUGCAAAUUAUUCUUAAUAACCUCCACAUUUCAUUGAAUCCCAUCUAAGGGCUUAUAGAAGAAAUAGAAAUCUUCUUCAAUAAAUUGUUGGAAAUGGGGCCCAUAUUUAUUUGACUCAAAUGGAAUCUUUGCUUCUCCUUAAUUCAUAUAUCCUACCCUGCAGUGAGUGCGCAUCUUAAAAUUUCUAGAUAACAGAGAAAAAAAUUUUCAAACCAUAAUUAGGUGGUUGUUAACUACUUCCUGGCUUUAUCCAUGGUCAUUAGUAAGUCAUGUUGUUUCUGAAAUUGAUUUUCUGGGAGUUUAGAGGAAGUUUUUUUGAUCACACUAGGUGUGUAGACUAUUUGGAGCAUUCUAGGGUUAGAAUAAUCUUGUGAGGAUGCUUGAGGGUAUGUGAUAUUGAGAUGAUGUGUAAACUGAGCAAACCUGAUCAUUCAUUCAACAAAUAUUUAAGGAACCCUGAUGAGGUUCCAGGCACUACACGAGGUGCUGGGAAGAUGGCAGAGACCAUGACAGUCCCUGUUACAACAGAGUUAAAAAAUUUCUGUGUGACAAGUAGUGGCAUAUGCAUUUAAAAUAGGACACAGUUUCAUGUUAGAAGUGUCAGAAGCCCGCAAGAGACUUUGACACUCAUUUACCUGUCUACUUUUCCAUAUUCCUCAGCCGCCUUGCAUCUAGUAGGGUUGUGUGAUUUGUUUUUACCAAGGGUGUGUGAGUGGAAGUGAGGGUGUUACUUUCAUUCACGGUGUGUCUUCUCCACACUCACUCAAGCCUACCUGGAUAAGUUUGGAGACCACAUAUUCCAGAGAACAUCGCUCUAAGAUCAAGGAGGACUGUCUGGUCUGUCUCAGACUGUGAUGUGAAAUAUAAGCUUUCUAUGUCAACCUCAUAAAAGACAAAGACUAUGGCAAUGUUCCAGAUUUACAAAGACUUGAAGAGACAUGACAACUAAAUGCGAUGUCUGCCCCUAGACUGGAUCCUGUACUGGGAAGGGAGAAAAGCUACAAAGAACAUAAUUAGAUCUGCUGAAAAAAAUCGGGGUAUGGAUGUCAGAUUAGAUAAAACAAGUAUUGCAUCAGUGUUAACCUGGGAGGAUGACAAUUGUACUAUGCAUAUGUAAAAGACCUUUCUAGUCUUAGGAGAUAUACACUUGAAGUGUUUAGGGGCAAGGGCUAUCAUUUAUGUCAUUUGCCCUCAGAUACUAAAAUAAAUGGGAUAAAACGUUGACAAAUCUGAGUAAAGCCUAUGUAGACAUUCCUUGUACUAUUUUUAGUAUUACAACCUUUUCUAAGGGUGAAUUUAUAUUUAGACUAAAAAUAAUAUAAAACAUUACACUGUUAAGUCACUAAGGUUUGGGGGUUUAUUGUUGCCACAGCAUAACCCAUACUAUCUUGACUAGUGGAGAGGGAAUUAGGAAGAUAUUACAGGGUAAAUAGGCUGCAUUUAGUGGGCCAGAGAAAGACUUUCCAGAAGAAAAUGAUUUGAAAAAUAAAUAGAAGCUAGCCAAGUGAAGAGGGAGGAAAAUUCCAAGUAGAGAACUAAAUUUUUGGAGGCCUAGUGGAGAGAGUACAGUACUUCAAUAACACAAAAAGAAUUCAACAUGGUGGGAGGGAAGACAUGAGAGGUGAACUUGGAGAUGUAGACAAGGCCAGGUCCUGAGGGAUCACAUAAGCCACGUUAAGACAUUUGGACUUUAUACUAAGGGCCAGGAAGGGUUUUAAGCAUGACUAAUGUGAUAAGAUUUACAUUUAAAAAAAUUAUCCUGGGUGCAGAAUGGAUUGGAACAGAAGAUGAUUAUAUAUAAGAAAAGAUGAAUGGGGUGGUGGCCAUUGAGGUGGAGAAGUGUCGGCAAUCUGAGAGUUAAUUAGGAGAGGGGGUUCUUUGACCUGGGUGAUUGAUGAGUGUGAAAUGGGAGGAGUGAAUGACAACUCCCAGUUCCUGCUGAGGGAAUUGGGCAGGUGGUGCUGCCAUUCCCUGAACUAAGAGACCCAGAAAAAAUAUUAGGUUUGGUGAGGAAACAUAAUGAUUUUAGUUUGGACAUUUUAGUUGGGACAUCUGCUAGAGACGUGUUUGGGAGACAGUUGCAUGAAUGGGCAGGGAGCUCACAAAAGAGGUCCAGGUACAAUAGGGAUGUGGGAGCUCUGGACACCUUUGUGGGAGGGGUGAGGUCACCAGGAAGAGCAUAGCAUGGAGAAGAGGACCCAGAGCAGAACCCAAAGGCAAACCAGGACUACAGAUGGAUAGAGAUAUGCUGAUGAGUCUGGGCUUCAGUACAGGGUAGCUGGCUAUCGCAAUUCUUGCAAUGCAGUUUCUCCUUUUGAAAAUAUGUCUUACCUCCUUGCAGGUAAAAGAGCUCUGUUAGAUGAGGGCUUAUUAGAUUUAGAAACUUUAAACUAGCAUAUGUUUCUAUUUAGUAGGGUUCUUUGCACUGUAUAGUGAUUAAAGUCACUGGGAAAUAUUUUGACAUCCCAUUUUACAAAUAGGGACCAUAGAGUUCAAAAAGUUUUAAAUAUUUUACUUCUUGUUUCUCUGGGAUUUGGCUGACAAACUGGGGAUUUGAUGCCAAGAUUUUGGCUUCUGUACUUAGUAAAACUUUCAAAUUAGUUAUUCAGAGGUCAAGACAUGUUACAUAUGCCAUUAAUAUUCCUUUCUAAGUUUUAAUCCUCAAUUGAAUCUCUGGUUCAAUCAGCAGAUGCUCUUCUUUUCACCAAUAUGAUUUUUAGAAGGUUAUAGGAAAGCACAGAUUUUUGGCCAAUUAACUAAUCACCUAUUCAUGCUUCAAGAUGUAUUCAGGUAUGCCCCCAAUGCAGCGGGCAUACCUGAAUAUGCUAGGCUGGGCUAAGUGUCCUCAGACAAACUUCCAGCAUUCUGCAGACAGGUUUGUGUGUAUGGUUUUCUCCCCUGGCUGCAAGCACUGUGAAUCUCCAGCACUGUGAGCAGGGCUCAUAGACUAUGCUCCACCUCAGGACUAGGGAGAGGAUAUCGAGGAGACCUGGGUUGUGGUUGUGAUUCUGUUGUGGGUCUGUCGUUGGCUGUGUCAAGGCUGCAGACUUUUCCCUUGUCCCCGGAGGACCUCCUCUCAUGCAAUUGUCGGCUUUCAGAGUCGGCCAUCGACCACAAACCUCUCUUCUCUGUCACUUUCUCCUUUCUAUCCCCUCACCAUUCCAUACAGCAAUUUGACUUUUGGCAGAGAAUAAUUUGGCCUUGCCAGCAAUUUAUUGGGUCUUAUAGGACACAGGUGGCUUGUCAUCUUUUAUAAAACUUGCACAUAGCAGGCACCUAAUUAAUGAUGAUAAUAGUGAUAAUGCAAGGACAAUUGCACUAGACACAUUCUGUUAGUAUUGUGUCUGGUAGGAACUGUGGUCUUGCCUCUUUUGGGGUCAGUGUCUUUGCGUUUGUAUUUUAAGAUGAUGUGUGUGUUGUGGAGAAGAGCAUCCAGGUGAGCCAGCAUCCCCUAUGUGCUGAUAUUGCUGGAGUAGCUGGAAAUGAAUUUCAUGAGAAGGUAGGAGGGAGGGAGAGAAAGAGAGAGGAGAGGCAGGAAUUCAGAAAUUUGGGAUGUAUGGAUCUACAGGAGUAAUGGUAUUAUUUUUGACUUUAUAAAUAAUUUAAUCCUCAAAACAAACCCCAACCUAAAUAUUGUCUUCAUUUGAAAGGUGAGAAAACCAAAGCCCAGAGAGGUUAAAUAACUCGCCUAAGAUCAUAUCCUUGGAAGUGGCAGAAGUAGGAUUCGAACACAGGUCUGAGUGACUCAAAGCCAUGCUCUCAGCCCACAAUACCUCUACCUCACCUCCCAGGACAGUAAUGCUCAAUAGUUAGUUUGAUCAUUAGGAAGGCCCGGAGAGAUACUUGUGGGCCAUUCUUUUCACCUGAAAUCAGAAAUACCAAACACACUACCCCAUGGGACCACCUUGUGCCCACUGAGUAGUUAAGGCAGAGUUUGACUUAGGAUUCGCCUGAGGUACAGAGGCUUUGGUAAUCACUACACAGCUGCUCAUGGUGUAGCAGUAGUCUGUCUCCUUUGAGAAUAUUCUUUCUUGCUUGGACAUAUUUAGCAUGGCUCUAUUUGAAUUGCUGAAGUUAUAGCAUCUGGUAUUUUGUAUGCAUUUUCUCUGAAAUUAAAUUUUUUUUUAAAAGUCUACUAUUGUUCUCCCUGCAGCAAAGUGUCUGUCUCUCUCUGUUCCCCACCCCCACCUGCUUUUUAAUUUUAAAGCAUUUCUUUGGCAUGGUCUACUCUCCUGACUGUGUCUGCCUUGAUGGAAUUUGGGUUUCAAUAGCAUCUGCUCUGAUUCCAGCAGGAUUUUGAGGACUUUUAAAUUUAUCUGCCAAUCCUUUUAAGCAACAGGCUACCCUUUCAAUAAUUAAGGGAAAAACCCCACAGCCACUAACAACCUGCCCUUCCUCCCCUUUCUUUCACACUAGUCCUAGCAUUUCUGGUUAACAGCUCUGCUGGAUAAAUUAGAAAACAAAAUCUCUGUGGGUGACCAGGCAAAACUUAUUAAUCAAUCAUAUAACCCUAGCAGACGACACAGCCCUAAUACAAAUAUUUGUGCUUCUGUCAUUGGCACUCAUCUGAUCGCUGCCAAAUAGUGACAGAUUUUAAAGACAAUCACAUUAAGUAUUAAUCAGGCUUGAAAGACGCAGCCAUGCAGAGGCAUACUAACGAGUAGGCCUCUCCUUCCUGUCUUCUGCACUAGCAGCAAUCCACACCAGCAUAGUAUUGAAACUGUCCUUUUCUUUCGUAGAACAUCCCUUUCAGCAUGCUGCAAAAUCUGAAACAGUGUUGGCUGGCUGAGUGACCUUGAGCCAAUGACACAGCUCCUACUAGACGAUGCCAUGGUCUCCAGGCUCCCCUGAUUAUGCCCACGUUCCUUACUCUCUCUCUUCUGGGCGUGAGCAAGGGCUAGAUGGUCAGUGUGGGAAUUAGUGAGUGGAUAGGGGUUAGAAAAGGGGAGCAGACCAUGGAGAAGGCAGCACAGAGACAGGGGCUCAGCUGGGCCUGGAAGGAAGAAGGCAGCUACAGGAAAGGGACCCAGGUAAGGCUGGGAACAAUGGGCUACCAUAUCUGGGCAUCUGUGAGGACAAAGUUGCCAGCCUACAUGCUCUGGAGAGUCAGUGUCAGAGAGAAGGGAAUUAUUUGGAGACUGAGGCUUUCCAAUGGGUGAUGGAUGCUCAGAGGAUGUAGAGAAGAAUCAAAGUUCCAGACCCACCAUAGUUCUUCCUUGAGUUGCCUGGUCCACCGCAGAAGGAGAUUAGAGGUUCCAGAGCUAUUCAGAGUUCCUGGGUAUUAAUUUUGAAGUCAGACUAUACAGAGUUGCCAGAUAGAAAAGUGGACUGACAGCUCAGUCAGGGUCCUGUGGGGCCUUGUCCAGCUGGGGUUGGCUUUUAAGUUCUGUGAUGUGAGAGAUGUGAAUUUAUCUGUUCUGAGAUGUCCAGAUUCAGGGAACUGACUCACAAUGACCAAACUCAUGUCAGAUUGAUGUUUAAGUGGAAGAAGUCCAGUUUCUUACUGAGGUGAGGUAGGGGUAAGUGUGUGUGUGUGUGUGUGUGUGAACAAAAGAGAGAACAUGGAAUUGACUAGUUGGUGCCUUCUCUCUUUAUAGGCAAACCUACAAGUUAUAAUUUAAAAUGUGAUUUGUUAAGUGCAAGUUCCCAAAAUGACAUAUUAUCUUCUGGACAGUGACACAAACAUACCAGCAAAUUCUUGUGACUUGAUCUGUAUUUUUCUAGACUCUUUGAAGAGCACUUGUUCUCAAUCUACUUUCACAAUCUUUUCUGAACAUUUAAUGGGGGCUCCAAGUCAUUUCCUGGACAGUAAAGCCCCUCCAGUUAGGGUUUUCUCAAUGGGUAGGGAGGGAGUUAGAGGCCUGUAGGUGAAAAACUAGGAGAGAAACUCAGAUGGUAAUGAUCUCUUGGCCCCUCUCUCGGCAAUCUAUUUAAGCUCCUAAUAUUCCUUUCUUUCCUCAUAAACUAGAAAAUUACUAGAAUCAUAGAAUUGCAGGAGUUGGAAGAGGCCUUAGGCAUAAGCUCCUUGGAUGCAGUUUUGCCUCUUAGGCACACAUCUUGUCACUUGCUUAGGGGACAUGUGAGUGAGAGAUGGAAGGAAGGGCAGAAGUUCUUUCCCCUGAAUCCCCCAAAGGCAGAUAUUUCUACUGGGGGUUCAGGGUAAGGAUGCUGGCAAGAAAAAUAGUUUCCUAUGAGCCAUCUUUCCUUCUGCUUCUUCAUGCUUCACUCACUCCUACGGCUCGACUUUACUCCUACCCAAGAGCCACCUGACCUUCUCCAUUCCCCACCCUCCUGCUGGGGCGGGGACCUGGCCCCACAGUGUCCUUCUUUUUUGCAGUGCCCCAUGUCUUUGCCUCCAGUGUCAGUACACACCCCUAGGAGGCCCCAUCCAUAGCCCCACAGCCCAACACGGGAAGGCAGGCCCCCCCUCACUUAUCUUUGCUCCUGGCAGAGAGCCCAGCCUAGGGUGACAGGGCAAUAGAUAUUUGUUAAUUGGAAUUAAAAUGUGGGACUGUGAGUGGAACUUUGGGGGUUCCAUUUGUAGCACUCUUUCUUCUUCCUCAGAAAGGAUGAGUAUUGGGAGUCUCACCAUCUCUCUACAGAGAGGGAAAAACAAAUAAUGUGCCUUGAGCACCCUUCCACAUAGCAGGAGUUCGAUUUUCAUGGGUAGUGCCCCAUGGGGGAUAAAAUACAGAGUCCAGGGGUGUUGGAGCAUCUCGAUUUCACAGACUGAUGAGAUAAAUUGUUAUACCUGAGUUUCUCUCAGUUUUGGAGUUUUAGCCCUUCCUGUCUUUUAAAUGCUGAAUACAAAGCCCUUGUUAGUCUAUCAAGAUGUCCUGGGGGACUGCCCAGGGAUUCCUUUGCAGGUGUUGGUAGACCCUGGUUUGACCUGGGGGUGUGGUAGGAUAGAUUAUUUGCUGGGACUUAUGAAACUUGUCCAGCUCUAUUAGCAUGGCUAGAACCAGUUCCUGACCCCUUUCCAUCUUCUGCCACAAAUUUCCAAAGGCUCAAGAAGAAUAGAGUUCAUUUCCCCUGAUUACUUUCUUUUCAUUAUUUUAAUAUCAAUCUCAUCUUGGUUUCUCACUCACAUCCUGAGUAGCAAUGAGGAAGAAAAUAUUGAUCAUGACUCAGGAAGCUGUGUCAAGUGUCUCUUGAGAGCAUCAAACACACUUGGUUUUUGUAUGGGGUCAAUAGAUCAGAAAAUUCUUCCAGCUUCUAGAUAUUUCUGUUGCAUAGAAUCUUCCAUUUUAUAGUCUGAAAUAGAUGAUGCCACUUCAGAUCAUUGGCAGAUUCAGAUCCAGCCCGUGCCAGGCGCAGUCGCUUUUUUUUUUUUUUUUUUUUGCUGCUGGGAAUUGAACUCAGGGGCCACUGAGCCACAUCCCCAGUCCUAUUUUGUAUUUUAUUUAGAGACAGGAUCUCACUGAGUUGCUCAGUGCCUUGCUUUUACUGAGGAUCAACUCACGAUCCUCCUGCCUUGGCCUCCUGAGCUGCUGGGAUUACAGGUGUGCGCCACCACGCUCUGCUGAGUCACUAUUGACCCCUUUGUGUAUGAUUGUGUCUUCUUUUCCAUGUUGGUGCACAUUUGCUUCCAUCAGCUGCCCCGCCACCCUGCUCUUGGAGGACUGUCCCAGCCACUAGAGGCCCUCUGCCUAGACACAGAGCUGUCUGUCCAGUGCCUGGGAGCUUAUGAUCCUAGCCUCCUUAGCCAAUGAUUGACAGGCCUGGCGUAUGAAGGGUCAGCCACCUGCCUGGGGCUGGGACACACUCAGGCAUACUUUAUACUCCAGAAUUUCCCUGUGGACCAGGUGGACGCAACUCUCCAUGGGCCCUAACCCUGAAAUUGCACCUAUGCUACGCUUCUUUUUCUUCCUGUUCUGCCUUCUCCACUUCCUUACCUGUUUCUCCUGGGAAUCUGUCUGUCUUCCUUUUUUGUAGUUGUUGUCCUGAGGAUAGAACGAAAGCCUUGUGCAUGCUAAGACUGGGAGCACUUCUUAAUAAAUCCCUUGUCCGUGAAUCCUCAUUUCAGGCCUGUUUCUGGGGAACCUGACCCCAGACAAUGAUGCCACAUUGAAUUCUCACAGCAACCCUGUGGCAAUUGAAUUAAAAUAGUACUUUCAUUAGUCUCAUUUACAGAUAAAGAAAUGAGAUGCCUAGUUAGUUCUCGAGUGAUUUCCAUAGGAUCAUUCAACUAGUAAGGUACGGAGUUGUGGAUUUCAGAACCUCUGACUUCACAUCCUGGACCUGGUUAUUUACAAUUCUCUACUGUAGAAUUCCCUUCCAUCUCAUAUGAAGGCUGGUAGUUUAGGCCAGUGACUAUGCAGAAAAUAUCUACUCUAUCACAUAUUAUGGACAAAAAAGUAAGCAAAAUAGUAUUGAAUUAAUUUAUAAAUAUAUAAUUAUAAACCAUGAUGAAAGCUAUAAAGCUAUCCAGGUUUAGAUUGGGUAAUGUGUAUGUGGGUGUGGGGUGUAUCCACCCCCUUUUAGGGAAAAGAUAGGUUUGCAUGAGAAAACAAACAAACAACUCACUCCUGUUUGCCUGAAAUGCAAUGGCAUGCAGCUGAAUGAAAUUAAGCUUAAUUUUGUAUUUUCUGUUGAGGUAGGGUUAAUUUUGUAAGCUUCCUGUGAUCUGAAGCUGUGUUUUUUGUAGCUUGCUUUCACUAUCUGUCAACAACAUGUAAGAAGUCUAUCCACACACAACUCACCGCCUCCCUUGCACAAGCCCCAAGACCUUGGCAAGCCUCCUUGAUGCCAAUCAGCAGCCCCUAGUAAUGUAAAAAGUGGUGGCAGCUUUGGCUUCCCCAUCGAAGAGUUCCUCAUUAAAAUCUGUGCUUGGCAGAACAGUUGGUCCCAGAUUACAUAUUCUGGCUUGUGGUGGGGCAAUUGAAGGACAGAGACAAUAAAUGCUCACAGCUUGUUAAUGACACCCUCAGAAGAUGGGGUUACCUUCUAGAUAUUUUUCUAGAGAAAUUUGGGCCACUGAUCAUACACACAGACACUUAUUCACUCAUUUCUAAGCUUUCAUAUUCUUUCUCUAUAAUGUAAGAGAGAUUAAUAAACACAACUUUUCAAAGUUAUGUUUUUAUUUCUCCAAUUGGUAAUCAUAAAAGAAAGAGGGGCUGAAACCUGAGCUGUCAUUCAAUAGACCCAGUUUAAGUGACAGGGAAGAAUCUAAGAGGCAUAAGAAGCUUCUCUGACCUUAAGAGAAUCCCUGUGAUUUAAUUAUUAUUAGGGAUAACAACAAUACUUAUGACAAUUGUUAGAUUCAUCUCUGAGCUGCUAUUUUACAGUUGAUGAAAAAUUUUCAACUUUUAAAUCUCAUUUUUUUCACAAUCCCUUCCUUGGAGUGGAAACUCAGAAGUUUUUUUUUUCCCCACUGAUUCACCGUUAAUAAAGAGAAAGCUGGUUCUGUUACUGCUGAUCCAACCCCAGUUUCUAGGGUUGUCACCUGUGAAUGACUCAGACCCCAAAUUACAUUUAAAAAAAUCAAUCUAUGUAUUUUCAGAAGUUGUGAAGUUGGAAUCAGAAAAGGCUAAAACAGCAUCUAUGGGUACUAAUUCCCCCAAGGUCUACUUUAAUGAACUUCUGGUAUAGCAACAGGGAUAACAAGGAUAAUCAUAUUUCUAGCUACAGAAAUGUCCACAAAUACCCAGAACUUCAAAAGUCAGGGUUGGAAGUUUUUUGCUUAAUAGACACUAGAUAGUGCAUGAUGAUUUUUUAAAAAAAUUGUUAUAGCCUAACUAAAUUCUCACAAUACAAAUGAUAAUGAUAAUGGUUUACACUUAUUGAGUUCCUACCACAUGCUGGGAACUUUGCUAAGCACGAGGGAGUCAAAGAGGUAUAGGAUGGGGUCCAAGCCUUCAAGCAGUUUGUAUUCAAGUUGGAAAGCUCCACUUUGGCUAACUGGUUGAUGAUUGCUAUGGAGAAGAAGUUUAGUGGAUAGAGAUAUUGCCAUGGUCUGGCACAAUCAGAGGUAGCAAACAGAGGAAAUAGAGCAAUGUAAAGACCUUAAAUGAGAUAAAUAAAGGGGCAUGGGAAGAAUGCUCCAGGCAGGGGUAGUGAAAAGAACUAGUAUGUAGAGCUGGAAAUGUAUGAGUUAUAUUUAAAAGACAAGAGAAUAAUACAACUGGAGUGAAAUAUAAGAACAGAGGUAGAAACAUAAUCCUUGAAAUCCAGGUGCCAAACAGGAUACUGGUGGUGGCUACAAUACAUUGGAUGGUAAUUAAAUAUGGCAAAUAUAACAGCAAUAGUGGUUGAUGCCAUCAUUAAUGUCUAAUAUUUACCUGUUCCUGCUGUAGGUAUUUACUGUUCUUUCUCAUCGAAUCACUCUUUAAAUCAGUAAAUUUUCAUUGCCCACUAUAAUUCUCACAAGAAUCCAAAAUACUUGUUUUUACUUCCAUUUUAAAAUGAAAAUACUGAAGCCCAAUAGGAAUAAGUAACGUGUAGAGUCACACAGCUAAUUAAUAGAGGAGUCUUGAUUUGGGCCCAUGCUGUUGGUCACAGCCUGCAGUUUCCCCCAUGCUAUCCCUUUACAGGGGUGGGCAUAUGGAAGUUGUUUGGAAAGGUGAAGACAGGAUGUCAUAACAGAGAGAAUCUUGGAGGUGGGCAACUAUUGCAAUAGGCCAGACACUGUAGUGGUAGCUUGUGGUGUGAGGAGAAAGGGAGGGAGGGAAAAGGAGGGAGAAGGGGAAUAGCAAGGAUGGUGGAAGGAGAUGGUCAUCAUUAUACAAAAUACAUUUUGAAGAUGUGAAUUUGGUGUCAACAUACCUUAUAUACAAACAGAGAUAUGACAAAUUGUGGUAUAAAGGUGUAUUAAGAAUUGUAAUGCAAAAAAAGAAAAAACAAGAGAGCUCAUGUAUAAUGGCAUAAUUUGGCGUGAAAAUACUUUAUAUACAUAGUUACAAAAAAUUGUGCUGUGAAUGUAUAAUUAUGAAUAUAAUGCAUUCCACUAUUGUCAUGUAUGUAAUAAAUAAAUAAAUAAAUAUGGCUUUCCACUAUAAAAAAAAAAAAAGAAUAUGUGCAUCUAAAGGACAGAGUCCUUCAGGCUUGUUAUCUUAGGAGACUUUGGCCUUGUUCUGACAAUGCUGCCAUUACUCAAAAGUAUUGAGAACUCUUCCUUCAGGAUUGUCUUCAACCACAUGGGAAAAGUUCUAACUUCAGCCACCAUGUCAUUACUCAGCCUGAUGACCCACCUGAUUUUCCAAGCUUGAUUCCAACUCACUUGUUUUAGAAAAUGAAAACUGUUAAGGGACAAAGCUUGGCCACUCUUGAGGGCGAGCUCAGGUUGUUCUCACACCCAGGGGGACAGUUUGGAUCAUGUGGACAUAAGGAAGUCCUGGUUUUGAACCCUGACUCAACCAAUUCCUUGGCCAAGUUAUUUAACUCAGUAUGCUUCAGGUCCUUGAGCUGUAGAAUGUAUAUUAUGAUUCCUUUCCUGGAGUGUGGUAGUUUUAAUUAGGAUGCUUUCAGCAGCAAAUGAGAAGUCAACUCAAAUUGGCUUAAAUAAUGUAGAAAUUUAUUUGCUCACCUAUGGAUAAGUCCAGAGGUGAAGUGGGUCCCAGGAAGAAUACAGCUGUGGCUGACUUCAGUUCUCUGAAGUUCUCUUGGCUCUGUCCUCUUCUGAUGUCCAGCUUUGUCAUCUGGCUGAUCCCGUUUGCAGUUCUCAAGUCAUUAACAACAUCUAGGACAGUUUCCUUUCUUCUUUAUUUCUAGUCUUUAAGAGAGAAAAAUCUCUUUUAGAGAUGAAUAUUUACACUUUCCUUUCGUCUGUUGGGACCAACUUAGGACACAUGCCCACCCAUGGACCAGUGCUCAGUAGUGAAGGGCCAUGUGUGAAUUGGCUUAGCGCAGGAUAGACUGGGUGUUAAAAGGGAUUAAAUUGUAUAAUUCAUAGGCAUUAUUUGGUCCACAGCUAAUACUCAAUGAAAGUUCGUUAUUUUUCCUAAUAAUGAGGAGAGUAUUCUUUGGGUAAAUUACACAUGCAUGCCUGACAUCCAUCAUCUAUCUAUCUAUCUAUCUACCUACCUACCUACCUACCUACCUACCUAUCUGAUAUAUUUAUAUAUGUAUGGAAUGUCUUCUCUUUAAGGUUUAUCCUCAUUCUCUUCUUUGAUUCAGGGUCACACUCUUUCUUCUCACCAGAACAGACUACAGAACAGUGCACACGCUGAGAUGGUAGCCCCAGACUUGUUUAGUGCAUGAGAGAAAAACAACAACAACAACAACAACUCUUGUUGUAAAUGGAGACAGAAAUUGGAACGUAUGACCAGGUAUGGAGUGCUGAGUGGGGGUUGGGAAAGAGGAGGAAUCAGGAGAGGAGGCACCAAAAUCGUAUUGAUUUUGCUUUUGCUUUAUUCCUUCCAGCUCUGCUCCUGGUGCUAUCUCUGUCUUCACAUUAACGCAUCAGGGCAGGGUGCUGGGAUGAUGUUGGUGGCUCUUACGUGCAAUUUGAAGAAAGUUUUAAACAGCUCAUCCAUCCAGGCAUUUUUAGGACCCAUUUCAUCUUUAUGUUAUUUGGCAAGUAGCUGGGAAAGACCAGAACUGAGGCUUUACACCUAUUUAGCACCUGGUUAAGCAUCACUUGGCACCUGCCAAAUGGGUCUCUACAUUUUAGGGGGAAUUUGCACUGAUUACUGUACUAAUUAAGCAGAAGUCAUUGCUACUCGCAAUCAUUAGGCUAAAUCGGUUUCUGGGGAAAAGUCUUGAUAAGCAGCUGCCCAGUUGAAGUGGAUUUGAAGGCGCCCUACGCACAUAGCUCAUGCGUUAGCAGUUGCUCUCAUGCUAUCGGGUCCUUAAUGUGACUGAACUCAGGGAUAACUGACAGUCUCAAUGCUGGGUGACAUGGGUUGGGGAGUCUUAAAAGGUGAGAUGCUCAAACUUAAUUGAGGUAAAUGAUACUAAGUACUGAGCAUAAAGGGCAUGCCCAGGAGUGAGUAGAUAUUUCACACAUGCUUAGGCCCACAGUUAUCUUCUUUGUCAUUUUUGCCUGCCCUGGUUCCUUUUCCUACCCCAGUGACCUUCAACUUACCCUUUAGGUUACUGGGAACAUUUUGUAGACAAUGUUUUUGUGCCUGGGGUAUGGUAGACUCUCUGAACUUUGAUACUUAGGAUUUAUGGGAACUUUUGCUGGAAAAUUUGGGGGAGGAACAUUGUGUGGGAGAGGGGUGGGGAGAGUAUACAGCAAUUGCUUUGAUUUCUAAAAUGUUGGGAGUGCUUGUGAGCAUCUGAGGACUUUUCCAUGGGCAACAGAUUGUCAUAAGAGACCAAGAACCUCUCAAAGAGCAUCAGAUCCUCUGCCUGAAGACAAGCAGUUUUGAAUCAGGCACAAACUGCCUCUGAAGACUUAUUUUUCUAUCUUUUUUAAUAACACAGCCACUGAGUUUUAUAGAAUAUUGUGUUGGAAGUUAGAGAAAUGCCAAACUGGAUGGGUAGCAUGAAAAAUACAAUGUGGCAUAGAACCUUAUCUAUAUUUGUGUACAAAAUUUACUACUUUGAGAUAAACUUGAAACAUUGUACUGGCUAUUUCUGAGAUGCUAAUGUGCAUCAUGAGGUCAGUAAAUUUUCCCAACAUUGUCUGUUUUCACAAGCCUUUCCUGGAAUCCUGAGGGAGGUAAUUUCUUUUGGAGGAGGAGGUAGAUAGCUCCAUAUUAUUAAAAAUUGUGAUGAUGUUUGGGGGCAAUUGCAUCUCACUUUCUGGAAGGUUGGAGAAAAGGAAUUCAAUUUGAAGCCAAUGGAAAAUUUCAAACAUGGGUGCAAUCCCAUAUAACAAAUGCCACUGUAAUGAACAUCUCCACAUCCCAGUGAUUCCCAGUGGCCUAUUUGUACCAGGCAGUAUUCAAUGAGGAAAAACUGCUCUAAAUAAAAAUGUGAAUAAUCCCUUGAAGUUUAUUCUAAUAGGAAACUAUGGCUCCAAAUCUUCAGGGGGCAGGGCUGAGAGUGAUAAGAGAUACUGCCUUGGAGAGUAGCCUCUGCCAGACAGUUUCCAAGGGGGUUAUUUGAGAGUUUAGUGGCGAAGGAAAACCAGAUAGAGGACCAUGAGGACAUGAGCCCUUUCAGAAACAUUCAGAUAGCUUGACAUUUAAUGAAGGUAGAGAAGCUCCAAACAUCUAAUUUUUCAAAUUGAAGAGAAGGGUAAUUUGGGAAUGCUAGAGAAUUCAGUACCAUUUUGCUAGGGGCUCCCUUCCUAUUAGUGUAAUGCCUAGUGCCUGCUAGGGCUGCAUUAAAUAACUAUUGUGCAUAUAAAGUGAGAAUGAGCACAGAGUUGUCCUAUAAAUAGUACAGUGCUACACAAAAGUUAGAUACCAUAGCUAAUUAUGUUAAUGAUUUAUCAGGUUCAUUUCCAGGGAGGCGAUGGGAUGGGACAUGGAUGAGAGAUGAUGCUGAAAACAAGAAAAGGGCACGGAGAUGGAAAGGAGGGAAUAUGGAGACUUCUCUUCUUGUUAUAGACUCUUGAUUUUGGAGAUGGAAAACAUUUUCAAAUGUUUUUCCAAUUUUGUGAUUAGCCCUUUCUUUGGAGUCUGGUAGUCAGGUAGUGAACUUCUGUGUCCAAUCCAAAGAGCCACACAGCCCUGCAGUCUUUUUUUAUUCUCUGGUGUGAAAGACACACAUAGAUGGCCCAAGAUCUCAUUUUCUCUUGCUUCUGGCACCUUCACAGAGUUCUGGCUCAGUUCUGAGUCAGCUCAGUGGAGAAGCAAGCCACAGGGAUUUGAAGGCCCCACCCCUAACAAGGCUGUUGUACACCAGGAAGCUCGAGUUAUUCAGUAGUCACAAAGCUGUUCCAUGGCCCUAUAAAUGAGAGAGCAUCAAGGUGCGCCCGUCAAUGGCAACCUUGCAUGGAGCACAUGGCCAUCUGUGCUUGGCCUGCGCUGUGGGGUGGAGAGAGGUCUGUGGGUUACAUGUGUUCCACUGCUUCUCUGCAGGUCAGUUUCCCUCCAAAAAUCCAUUUUACAUCAGUACCACACGAUCCCUUUGAUCCUUGGAAUUCAGGUUCUUUUUGAAAUGAGGUUCAGGUUUUCUAGGCACCUGAAAUGGCAGGGGUGCAAUUCUCCUGCCAUGAGAGAUUAAUAAUAAAGAGAACUUUUCCUUUGGAAUAGACAGACAUGACUGGUUAGCAAGAAGGGUGGAAAGAUAAAAGGGAAGAAAAGUAUAUGCAACUUUCAAAAAAGCCCCAUACCAAUCUGUCCCUUGACAGGAAUGCCAUUGGCAGUAUCUGAUAUUUCCUUCCCACUUCCAGAAGCUUCCUAGAGCUGCCAGGCUGCUCAGGGCAGGAUUGUUUUCUGCUUAUUGCCAGGGAAAAUGAAGAUGGGGUUGCUGAGGGAAAAAAAAAAAAAAGAUUCUCCCUAGCUCCUAAAUGAGGACAUAAUGAAAGAUGUCCCUGGAGAGGAAGGGCAGGCUGGUGCACUACAGGAAGACCCACGACAGCUAUGGACACAGAGGCUGGAGAGACUGCCUAUUUCUUUCAGAAAGUGCUCUUUGGAGUCUGGUAGUCAGGUAGAGAACUUCUGGGAGCCUGCCUGAGGCCUGUGGACAGAUGGCCUCCCACCUCCUGCUGGGGAAGCUCCUUAUUCUGGUUGGGUGAUGCGGCUGUGCUGUCUCAGGAGGAUUAUCUAAAGUAAGUACAGAAGGAAUUGAUUUAUUUUACUGCUGAAAUGCUGCCUUCCUGCAGAUGGAAGAUGGCAGCUCUUGAUCCAAUAUUAUCGAUUUGCUGCAGCUGGUCUGCUGAAGUCGUAGAAAAACUCCACACAAUUGGCUACCCAAGGAAGCGGAGAGGUGGCUCAGCCAGACAGACUCAGUUGGGUUCGGUCAGGUGUGGGUUGAGCAAGUAGGUCUUCGGUAGCUCAAAAGAGAAGAUUUUUCUCCCUGGGUUUGGUCCCUGUCUACACAGUACUGUGGUUCAGAUUUUAGCCUGGGAGUCAGUCAGCCUUGGCUUCCAAGUUUCCCUCCUCAUUUACUAACUGUAUAUACUUGAUUGCAUAUUUAACCUCUUUUUCAUUCAUUUUUGAAUGAAAAAAAAAAUUUAAAUGAACACCUGGAAAAUCUCUGCACCUUUAUAUACCUGUGAAGUAGGUUUGACCCCAUUUAUGUCUUGGAUAUGUGAAAAGAGCCAAAGAUACAGAUGGGAGUGAGGUGGCUUGACUUUCUUCUCUGUCGUGGUGGCACAUGUCUGCAAUCCCAGUGGUUUGGGUCUGAGGUAGGAGGAUAGCAAGUUCAAGGCCAGCCUCAGCACCUUAACAGAGCCCUAAGCAACUUAGCAAGACCCUGUCUCAAAACAAAAAAAUAAAAACAGACUGGGGAUGUGUCUCAGCAUCCCUGGGUUCAAUCCUAGUGCCAAAUUGGGGGAGAGCAGAGUCUGGAAGCAGCUAAAUGCUCUGCUUAGAACAGUAGGACAGCUGUCACCUGAGAAAGGCCCCAGAAUAAAUGACAGCAAGAUCGGUAAGGAGAGCAGGUCCAGGCAGAGCUUUAGGGCACUCUUGUUUUGAUCAAUCAAUGACCUGUCAGGGAACUGGGUCGGGUUUCCUCUGCCUUUGCCUCCAAAUCAGCUUUGCCUCUUCAAAUAGAAAUAAAGGGCAGCUCUGGACACCUGAAGUUAGCCCUUUAGGCCUCUCCUUAUCCAUGUCUGCUUUCCCAGGGCAGUUUGCUGAGCUGUCUGUCUGUUAGCACUGUUCUCUUGCCAAGUCCCUUCCUAGGCAGCCUGGUGCCAUGAUUGCAAUGUGCCAAGGUUCCAGGUACACUCCAAAAUCAUAGUUACAGUCAUGUACCUCAUUACAAUCUUUGAUCAACGAUAAACUUCAUAUCUGAUGAGAGUUCCAUGAGAUUAUAUCUCCUAGUGAUGUGGUAGCUGUCUUAGUUUGUGUAACUACAUUUUCUGAUGUUGGCACAAUAAUGAAAUCAGCUAAUGAUGCCUUUCUCAGAAUGUAUGCCCAUCAGUAAAUGAUGCAUAACUGUACUUCCAGUUAAAAACGACAGUUAAACCCAUUCCUCUCUUCUUCUUCCUGAAACCUCAUGAAAAUGCGUGCCAAGGAUUAAAAACCCCAAAGAUAGAGGAAAUGUGAGACACUAUGAAGGAGGUCAACCCAUUUUUGGAGGAUGGAAAGCAAAUGAAGGAGGAGCUACUGAUUCAGAGGGGGAAGCUGUAACUUCAGUGUCCCCAGGGAAGGGCAAGGAGGAGAACCAAGAUGAUGGCCUGCAAGGUCCAGCAGGUGGGCUUGACACAUGGGAUCAGGCCAGGCCUUUGUUUGAAGUCUGCCUAGGUUCAAUUAGAACCCCAGGUCUCUCCUGGACCCAGGCAGAGGUGAUAACUGUCCUCCUCCCCUCUGUUUAGAAAUUGGACCUGGAGAGGCUAGGUUCAGCACAUGAGGACAUCAUACACCGGAAGUAGUGGGGGUAACACACAGACUGGCUAUGCCGUUUCUGAGGGUGGGGGCUUUCACCUACCUUCUUUGUUCUGCUAUCCCAGAUGCUGACAGCCAGGACCUGAGCCCUAGAGUAAAGGUGGCUUCUACUCCAGGGAGACUGAAUUGGAAUUGGUUACAGAUCCUGAAGUUUGAGGACCCCUUAAACCUUAGAAAUUGAUACGCCAUGCUGAGGCAUUCUGAAUUUCUCAUCUAUUUAAAAAUUUUCAGGAAUUUAACUUUGAACUCAACUCAAACUGCACCGCUCCUGUGGUGGGUAGAGACUGAAAUCUUGGUUCAAUUUUUCAGCCUUAGCUUAGCUAUUUAAGUGUCUGCCCUGCUUAUGCAUGGUUCAGGAGGCAGCCAGAGAUCAGGUGGGAGUUUAUUCAUAGAAUAUAGGGCUUUCCCUUUCUGGCACUUUCCUUUCUGGAUAAAGUAUUUCACAGUUUUGCUCUUGCCCAGUACUCAAAAUAUUUGAGCCAGUAAGCCUGUAGGUGUCUGUUAGAAUGUUUGCCCUCUGCUUGGAGCUGAAUGGGACUUGUUUUCAGGCUAGAAAAAAAAAAAAGGAGAAAUGACCCAGCACUUCCAAAUGUCAAUUUGUCUCUGACUUCCAGAUACUCUUCAGUGCCUUCAGGAAGUUUUUUUGUUUGCUUGUUUGAUUGAUUUUAAAGUUCAGGAUUAUAGUAGUUUUCGGAAUGGGACAGGGUGGGAGAUUGGUCUGGUAAGAGUUGAUUGUUGGGGCUGGGGUUUUGGCUGAGCGGUGGCUCACCUAGCACAUGGGAGGCGCUGGGUUCAAUUUUCAGCACCACAUAAAAAUAAAUUAAUAAAAUAAAGUAUUGUGGCCAACUACAAGUAAAAAAAAAUUUAAAAAGAGUUUAUUGUUGAUUGGAGCUAAUUUUUGGUAGCCAUUACUUUUUUAAACUUAUAUUUUCUCAUCCCCUUUCUCCAUCUUUUAAAUAUGAAAGAACAGUUAAGGACCAGCAAAAGUUUGAGGAAGUCAUGCAAUAUGAGAGAUAGGGAAAUAUAAACAAAACUUUAAAAUGGGGGAAAAUUUGGGAGACAGAUGCUCAGACAAAACAGAGGUACUGUCCAAGAAGAAUAAAGUACAAAAAAAUAACUCUCCACAAUAAUAUUUGCAGAAAGACAAUAAAUAUUUUACCUAUAUAUCAAAAGCGGGCUGCUGUUUUAAAAAUAAAUUUGGAGGACCAGAAAUGUCUUAUAAAUUAAAAAAUAGCAUUACACACAUGCUAAAUAGUGAAAGAAAUUGACUAGAAAGUAAAGCAAAAUGAUAGACAUGAACAUUAAGAAAGAAAAUAUAAGAAUCAACCUAAGAAGGCUAAUAUCUAACUAACUGAAGCUCUAGAAAGGGAGAAUAGAGAACCAGGAGAAAAAGAUCUUUUCAAGGAAAUAACACAAGAAUGUAUUCCUGAGGUGAGUACCCUAAAUAUCUAGAGUCUAGAUCAGAGUUGGUAAACUAUGACCUAUAGGCCUGUUUUGUAAAUAAAGUUUUAUUGAAACACAGCCAUGCUAAUUUGCUUCUAUGUAGUUCAUGGCUAGAGGAUAGAGUUGGAAAGUUAAGAGAGAAACUGUAUGGCCUACAAAACAUAAAAUAUUUACUAUCUGGUCCCUUAUAGAAAAAGGUGCUCACUGCUGGUUCGAACGAUGAGAUCCCUCCAUUGACCAACACCAUGAAUACAAGAAGACGCAGAUAUAAGGACAUAUUGUGAAUUUUCAAUACACCAGGAGUAAAGAGAAAAAUCUUGAGAUUCCAGAGAGAAAAGAGAGUCACGUAGAAAGAAUCAGAAAUCAGAAUGGGAUUGAACUUCUCAAAAGCAAUGUUGGAAGUCAUAAGAAAGUGGAAUGAUACCUUCAGGAUUCUGCAGGAAAUAAUAAAAAAAAUUAAUCUGGAACUUAAUCCAGUAUAAAGAUGAAAUAAAGGUGUUUUCAGACGGCGACAUCUCAAAGAUUGUACUUCUAGUCUUCUUCAGAGGAUAUGCCUCAGCACAAUGAGGGAGUAAACCAAGAAGGAGGAGGACAUGGAAGCCUGUGCGUAGGACAGUGGUGGGAGAUCCUGAGGAUGCUGCCGGGCUCUAGGCCCAGAGAGCAAUGGGUCCAGGCUGAAGGGCUGCGGGUGGGUGGUCAUCUGGGAAAAAUACAUGGAACUGAAGCUUGUCUGUGUGCUGGACCAAGUAAAGGAGAACACAGACCAUUAAGGGUUUAGAAGCAUUUGGGGCUGGUUAUUUGGUAAACUAAACAGAUCCACCAAAAGUGCAAUUAUUCCAUGGGAAAGAUUGCAUGAUAAAGUAUAACUGCAGCACUGACUCACCAGUGGAGAAUAUUUACACAAUCUGCCUGGUGGCUGAGUGGUCCCCCUCCUGCUUUGUGAUCUGAGAAACAUUUCAUCCCACUAGUUCCUUCAGCCCUGGGGGAGGCAGGAACUGGAGUGACUGGCCUCUGUUUGGUCUUUCAGCAAUUCUAACGCUUUCUACCUAAAACCCUAUAUGAAAUUUCCUUCUAUUGAAUGAUCUGGCAUGGGUUUGUGGAGUCUGACGGUCUCUGAAAUUGAUAAAGCAAGAAAUAGCACAGGUAGGCAUUGAGUUAGAAAUACGGAAGUAAACACCAAGGGUAAAAAACGACAACGGAAAGAGUGGAAAGUCUGCUAUUGAGGAAAAGAACUUGGUGCUGGGAGAUGAGAGAGAUAUGUUAGGGAAAUGUUAUUGUUGGUUAUGUCUUUUAUAACAUUAUUUGACUUAAGCUAGAUACAUAUAUUAUUUUGAAAAACAAAAGCAAAAGCAAAAAUUCACUGAGAACAUUUGUCAACCUCAAAACCAGGGUAGUCAUCAGGUCUCAUAUUCCCACAGAUGAAGCUAUGAGCAAGUUAGAGAUUUAGGUGGGUGUGGGAUCCUCUGAGCCAACUAGGUAGGUGUUAGUAGGAGACAAAAAUUGCUCAUCUGCUAAAGGUAGCUGGGCCAUCUGGUCAUCAGUACAGGUGUACCCCACCACAAGCCAACCUCAGCCCAAGGCAAAGGACUGGAGUGCCCCUCCUCAGAAGGAGUUAUGAUGCUGGUGAAGUGCGCGGACCAUCCUCAUUAUAGCUACAGACAAAGGCACUGGGCAGGAUUAAAGCAACAUCACUUUAAAGUUGAGAGACUUCCACUAGAGGCAGUUCCCUUAGCUUUCCUUAUGCAAUCUAGAUCUUAUUUCACCAUUCAGAGUUCUACUUUUUCCUGUGAGGAUCAGAGAUACCUUAUUAAAAAGUAUCAUCAUUCCAUAGUGUAGAUAUUAAUACUUCAUCAGAAAAAUAGCUAGUAAAUAUUUUUUCCCAUUCUGUAGAUAAUGGGCAAACAAAUUAAACAGACACUUCUCAAAAGAAGAAAUACAAAUGGCCAACAAAUAUAUGAAAAAAUGUUCAAUAUCAUUUACAAUUAGGAAAAUGCAAAUCAAAACUACACAGAGAUUGUAUCUCACACUGGUCAGAAUGGCAGUCAGCAAGAACACAAUAAUAAAUGCUGGAGAGGAUGUGGAGGAAAAGGAACACUUUUACACUGUUGGUGGAAUUGUAAAUUAGUACAAACACUAUGGAAAUCAGUAUGGAGGUUCCUCAAAAGACUAGGAUAGAACAACCAUAUGACCCAGCUAUAUCACUGCUAAGUAUUUAUCCUAAAAAACUAAAGUCAUAAUACUACAGCGAUACAUGCAUACCCAUGUUUACAGGAGUACAUUUCACAACAGUCAAACUUUAGAACCAGCCUGGAUAUCCAUCAGCAGAUGAAUGGAUAAAGAAAAUGUGGAGUUAUAGUCCACAAUUGUGUGUGUGUAUAUAUAUAUAUAUAUAUAUAUAUACACACACACAUACACACAAUGGAGUUAUAGUCAGUCACAAAGAAAAAUGAAAUUAUGUCAUUUUCAGGAAAAUAGAUGGAACUUGAGAACAUUACUUUAAACAAAACAAGGCAAACUCAGAAGGUCAAGGGUUUUCUUUCAUACGUGGAAGCUAGAGAGGUAAAGGAAAAGAAAGGUGGGGAGAUCUCAUGAAAAUUGAAGGGAGAUCAGGAAAGGAAAGGGACCAGUGGGGAUAGAUAAGAGGAGAGAAAGGGGAGUACUAGGGAAUGAUAUUGGCCAAAUUAUAUUGUUAUAUUGUGUGCAUGUACAAAUAUGUAAACAAAUUCUAUCAUUAGACACAUAUAUAAUGUACCAAUAAAAAUAUGCAGAUUAAAAAUAUAAUUCUGAAAAAAAGUAUCAUCUUUCCAAAUGAAUAUUCAUUUCUUCUUUCCUCUUCUUUUUUCCUCUCUAACUCAAGACCCUCAGCUCUUUCUUGUCUCCUGGUUUUGAAACAAGUUCCAGGAAGUUUCCUAAUAAAGCCUACUCCAAGGUUCUGUAGCCAGCCUUUAAUAAAACUCCAAGGAAUUGUGGCAUUUCAAUGAACCCCACACCUUUAUUUUCCAUAUAAGGGGUGCAGUGGGAAGAUCAAGGCUGUAGUCUUUCUCUCUCUCUUACACACACACACACACACACACACACACACACACACACUUGCUCCAUGGAUAUUUCCUUUCAGUCCCUCUGCCCUACAGCAUCUCUUUUCAACUCUGUCACAGAUAGAAUUAUAUCAGCACAGUGAGCAAAGACCUUGAGGCACAAGAGCUGAUGGGAUAAUUUAUGGAAAUGCAAUUUAUCCUUGGCAGAGGGAAAAAAAAAAAAAAAAACCAGAAAAGGCCUGGCUGCUGUGGUUUGCUCUGGAAAGGGGAAAGGGCUGUGGAUUCUACAGGAUUUUGGAAUACUCUACUUAGGUUCUUAUGUUUUGAGUUUUGCUGGAGAAGUGACACGGGGUCUUAUGAAGCUCUGAGAGGAAAUGUCUCCUUUCAAAGCUUCCACUGGUUCUUGGUAUAACUACAGGGUCAGGGAGAUGAAGAGACAUGUUACUGGAUUUUUGGUUUUAAAAGACAAGGCUUUGGGCCAGGUGAGGUGGCACAUAUCUGUAAUCCCAGCAACUUGCGGGGGAGAGGCAGGAGCUUGGGGAGUUCAAAGCCCCUCAGCAAAAGAGAGGCCCUAAGCACCUCAGUGAGACCCUGUCUGUAAGUAAAAUACAAAAUAGGGCUGGGAAUAUGGCUCAGUGGUUGAGUGCCCCUGAGGUCAAUCCCUGGUUACCCCACCUCCCCAAGAAAAAAGCAAGGCUUUGGUACACUUUGGAAGAGAAAGAUCAUAAUAAAGGGUCCCACCUCCUCUGCUCCAACAGAAUUUAGUCUCC
RNAcentral lists this long non-coding RNA (37488 nucleotides) under Marmota monax (woodchuck). The record is from RNAcentral. Lineage: Eukaryota; Metazoa; Chordata; Mammalia; Rodentia; Sciuridae.